RNAcentral lists this transfer RNA (99 nucleotides) under Syntrophaceticus sp. Its description in RNAcentral is "tRNA-Ser". The stretch from base 38 to 96 matches the Rfam family "tRNA". From Rfam's summary of the family: Transfer RNA (tRNA) molecules are approximately 80 nucleotides in length. Their secondary structure includes four short double-helical elements and three loops (D, anti-codon, and T loops). Lineage: Bacteria; Bacillati; Bacillota; Clostridia; Thermoanaerobacterales; Thermoanaerobacterales Family III. Incertae Sedis. The record is from RNAcentral.
UUCGGGUUAUGAGCCCGACGAGCUACCGCUGCUCCACCCCGCGGUAUGGUCGGGCUCAUAACCCGAAGGUUGCAGGUUCGAAUCCUGUCCCCGCAACCA